RNAcentral lists this ribosomal RNA (347 nucleotides) under uncultured bacterium. Its description in RNAcentral is "partial 16S ribosomal RNA". It matches the Rfam family "Bacterial small subunit ribosomal RNA", at positions 338 to 682 of the family's 1533-position model. The record is from RNAcentral.
CCUACGGGAGGCAGCAGUGAGGAAGAUUGGUCAAUGGGCGCGAGCCUGAACCAGCCAAGUAGCGUGAAGGAUGACUGCCCUACGGGUUGUAAACUUCUUUUAUAAAGGAAUAAAGUGAGGCACGUGUGCCUUUUUGUAUGUACUUUAUGAAUAAGGAUCGGCUAACUCCGUGCCAGCAGCCGCGGUAAUACGGAGGAUCCGAGCGUUAUCCGGCUUUCUUGGGUUUAAAGGGAGCGUAGAUGGGUUGGUAAGUCAGUUGUGAAAGUUUGCGGCUCAACCGUAAAAUUGCAAUUGAUACUGGCAGUCUUGAGUACAGUUGCGGUAGUCGGACUUCGUGGUGUUGCGGU